UGUGGCCUGUGAUGACCAUAAUUUGUCUACAUUGUAUGAUUUUACAGUGAUGAAGGAAUAUAUAAGUCUGAGGCCUUG
Spinacia oleracea (spinach) is the source of this 78-nucleotide non-coding RNA. Lineage: Eukaryota; Viridiplantae; Streptophyta; Magnoliopsida; Caryophyllales; Amaranthaceae. The record is from Rfam.